Molecule: long non-coding RNA, 538 nt
Organism: Hyaena hyaena (striped hyena)
Lineage: Eukaryota; Metazoa; Chordata; Mammalia; Carnivora; Hyaenidae
Exons: 3
Source: RefSeq, a predicted model, not a curated record
ACCUCGCCAGCAACCAGGUUCGCAAAGGUCUCUUCAGGGAGAUUGCCAGCCAGGCCCUUCCCGUUGCACCCUGACAAAACUUUUGAAUUCCCCCCGACUCUGCCUUCAUGGGGAACACAUGGCAUUAGAAAACGUCAAGGGAGGGACUGCUGAACAGAAAGAAAUCACAUUGUGCAUCAUCAUCAAGGUAAUUGGAUUCUGCAGCCCAUGUUAUCUUAUGAACUACUGAUAAACAGAAAUGCUGGAUUUACCUGUGAAAGUACCACAUUCUUCAGAGCACUUGAAAAUGGUUGAAAGACAAAGCCACCAAGUCAACGUGCUCUUCUGAGAUUUAGGUUUCCUAUGUCUAACACUUUUGUCUAAUCACAACUCUUGAUUGACACAUUCUCUCAUCAUGGCAUUUGCAGCCUGCUAGAAGUCCUUUGUCUCUGUGAGAGACUGACAGGCAAUGUUAAAAAAAAAAAAAAAAAAGUGUUUUGUGAAGUGCUUUUUAAACCUGUUUUCGAUGAAUAUACCUGCCUUCUUGAGAAAAAAGAAA